AUGAUGAAUUUUAAGGACGAUGCUCCUGGAAAGAAAGACUCUGUUCUCUUAACAAGGAUGGAAAGUAUAACAUCAUACAAAAACCAACAUGGACAACCCACAUCUGGAUGUCAUGAGCAUGGGCGUGAUGCCUUCACUGCUGACUCCAUUGCAAUGUCCCGUGCAAUAUCUCUUGCCCCUGAUAUGUGGGUCGUGAGGGUCGUUUUUUAA
Molecule: ribosomal RNA, 210 nt
Filed under: Triticum aestivum (bread wheat)
Lineage: Eukaryota; Viridiplantae; Streptophyta; Magnoliopsida; Poales; Poaceae
Description: partial small subunit ribosomal RNA
Source: RNAcentral